RNAcentral lists this ribosomal RNA (465 nucleotides) under uncultured bacterium. RNAcentral's name for it is "partial 16S ribosomal RNA". It matches the Rfam family "Bacterial small subunit ribosomal RNA", at positions 28 to 507 of the family's 1533-position model. The record is from RNAcentral.
GACGAACGCUGGCGGCGUGCUUAACACAUGCAAGUCGAACGGAAAGGCCCUGCUUGCAGGGUACUCGAGUGGCGAACGGGUGAGUAACACGUGGGUGAUCUGCCCUGCACUUCGGGAUAAGCCUGGGAAACUGGGUCUAAUACCGGAUAGGAGCCAUUUUUAGUGUGAUGGUUGGAAAGUUUUUUCGGUGUAGGAUGAGCUCGCGGCCUAUCAGCUUGUUGGUGGGGUAAUGGCCUACCAAGGCGGCGACGGGUAGCCGGCCUGAGAGGGUGGACGGCCACAUUGGGACUGGGAUACGGCCCAGACUCCUACGGGAGGCAACAGUGGGGAAUAUUGCACAAUGGGCGCAAGCCUGAUGCAGCGACGCCGCGUGGGGGAUGACGGCCUUCGGGUUGUGAACUCCUUUCGCUAGGGACGAAGCUUUUUGUGACGGUACCUAGAUAAGAAGCACCGGCUAACUACGUG